UAUGAUGACUGAUUACCUGAGAA
RNAcentral lists this non-coding RNA (23 nucleotides) under Cricetulus griseus (Chinese hamster). The record is from RNAcentral. Lineage: Eukaryota; Metazoa; Chordata; Mammalia; Rodentia; Cricetidae.